GACGAACGCUGGCGGCGUGCUUAACACAUGCAAGUCGAACGGAAAGGCCCUGCUUUUGUGGGGUGCUCGAGUGGCGAACGGGUGAGUAACACGUGAGUAACCUGCCCUUGACUUUGGGAUAACUUCAGGAAACUGGGGCUAAUACCGGAUAGGAGCUCCUGCUGCAUGGUGGGGGUUGGAAAGUUUCGGCGGUUGGGGAUGGACUCGCGGCUUAUCAGCUUGUUGGUGGGGUAGUGGCUUACCAAGGCUUUGACGGGUAGCCGGCCUGAGAGGGUGACCGGCCACAUUGGGACUGAGAUACGGCCCAGACUCCUACGGGAGGCAGCAGUGGGGAAUAUUGCACAAUGGGCGGAAGCCUGAUGCAGCAACGCCGCGUGCGGGAUGACGGCCUUCGGGUUGUAAACCGCUUUCGCCUGUGACGAAGCGUGAGUGACGGUAAUGGGUAAAGAAGCACCGGCUAACUACGUGCCAGCAGCCGCGGUGAUACGUAGGGUGCGAGCGUUGUCCGGAUUUAUUGGGCGUAAAGGGCUCGUAGGUGGUUGAUCGCGUCGGAAGUGUAAUCUUGGGGCUUAACCCUGAGCGUGCUUUCGAUACGGGUUGACUUGAGGAAGGUAGGGGAGAAUGGAAUUCCUGGUGGAGCGGUGGAAUGCGCAGAUAUCAGGAGGAACACCAGUGGCGAAGGCGGUUCUCUGGGCCUUUCCUGACGCUGAGGAGCGAAAGCGUGGGGAGCGAACAGGCUUAGAUACCCUGGUAGUCCACGCUGUAAACGGUGGGUACUAGGUGUGGGGUCCAUUCCACGGGUUCCGUGCCGUAGCUAACGCUUUAAGUACCCCGCCUGGGGAGUACGGCCGCAAGGCUAAAACUCAAAGGAAUUGACGGGGCCCCGCACAAGCGGCGGAGCAUGCGGAUUAAUUCGAUGCAACGCGUAGAACCUUACCUGGGUUUGACAUGGAUCGGGAGUGCUCAGAGAUGGGUGUGCCUCUUUUGGGGUCGGUUCACAGGUGGUGCAUGGCUGUCGUCAGCUCGUGUCGUGAGAUGUUGGGUUAAGUCCCGCAACGAGCGCAACCCUUGUUCAUUGUUGCCAGCACGUUAUGGUGGGGACUCAGUGGAGACCGCCGGGGUCAACUCGGAGGAAGGUGGGGAUGACGUCAAGUCAUCAUGCCCCUUAUGUCCAGGGCUUCACGCAUGCUACAAUGGCUGGUACAGAGAGUGGCGAGCCUGUGAGGGUGAGCGAAUCUCGGAAAGCCGGUCUCAGUUCGGAUUGGGGUCUGCAACUCGACCUCAUGAAGUCGGAGUCGCUAGUAAUCGCAGAUCAGCAACGCUGCGGUGAAAACGUUCCCGGGGCU
RNAcentral lists this ribosomal RNA (1346 nucleotides) under uncultured bacterium. RNAcentral's name for it is "partial 16S ribosomal RNA". It matches the Rfam family "Bacterial small subunit ribosomal RNA", at positions 28 to 1381 of the family's 1533-position model. The record is from RNAcentral.